Molecule: ribosomal RNA, 492 nt
Filed under: uncultured bacterium
Lineage: Bacteria
Description: partial 16S ribosomal RNA
Rfam family: Bacterial small subunit ribosomal RNA
Source: RNAcentral
AGUGAACGCUGGCGGUAGGCCUAACACAUGCAAGUCGAACGGCAGCACAGUAAGAGCUUGCUCUUACGGGUGGCGAGUGGCGGACGGGUGAGGAAUACAUCGGAAUCUACUUUUUCGUGGGGGAUAACGUAGGGAAACUUACGCUAAUACCGCAUACGACCUACGGGUGAAAGCAGGGGAUCUUCGGACCUUGCGCGAUUGAAUGAGCCGAUGUCGGAUUAGCUAGUUGGCGGGGUAAAGGCCCACCAAGGCGACGAUCCGUAGCCGGUCUGAGAGGAUGAUCGGCCGCACUGGAGCUGGACCACGGUCCAGACGCCUACGGGAGGCAGCAGUGGGGAAUAUUGGACAAUAGGCGCAAGCCUGAUCCAGCUAUACCGCGUGGGUGGAGGAGGCCUUCGGGUUGUAAAGCCCUUUUGUUGGGAAAGAAAAGCAGCAGGUUAAUACCCCGCUGUUCUGACGGUACCCAAAGAAUAAGCACCGGCUAACUUCGUG